AGGGGUAUCGGUUAAUGGCUAAACCAAUGGUCUCCAAAACCAUGACUGGGAGUUCGAAUCUCUCUACCCCUG
Molecule: transfer RNA, 72 nt
Filed under: Phage Phass-1
Lineage: Duplodnaviria; Heunggongvirae; Uroviricota; Caudoviricetes
Rfam family: tRNA
About the family: Transfer RNA (tRNA) molecules are approximately 80 nucleotides in length. Their secondary structure includes four short double-helical elements and three loops (D, anti-codon, and T loops). Further hydrogen bonds mediate the characteristic L-shaped molecular structure. tRNAs have two regions of fundamental functional importance: the anti-codon, which is responsible for specific mRNA codon recognition, and the 3' end, to which the tRNAs corresponding amino acid is attached (by aminoacyl-tRNA synthetases). tRNAs cope with the degeneracy of the genetic code in two manners: having more than one tRNA (with a specific anti-codon) for a particular amino acid; and 'wobble' base-pairing, i.e. permitting non-standard base-pairing at the 3rd anti-codon position.
Source: Rfam by way of RNAcentral